RNAcentral lists this ribosomal RNA (155 nucleotides) under Komagataeibacter xylinus. RNAcentral describes it as "partial 16S rRNA". It matches the Rfam family "Bacterial small subunit ribosomal RNA", at positions 1211 to 1366 of the family's 1533-position model. The record is from RNAcentral. Lineage: Bacteria; Pseudomonadati; Pseudomonadota; Alphaproteobacteria; Acetobacterales; Acetobacteraceae.
GGGCUACACACGUGCUACAAUGGCGGUGACAGUGGGAAGCCAGGUGGUGACACCGAGCCGAUCUCAAAAAGCCGUCUCAGUUCGGAUUGCACUCUGCAACUCGAGUGCAUGAAGGUGGAAUCGCUAGUAAUCGCGGAUCAGCAUGCCGCGGUGAA